RNAcentral lists this ribosomal RNA (668 nucleotides) under Enterococcus casseliflavus. RNAcentral's name for it is "bacterial SSU rRNA". It matches the Rfam family "Bacterial small subunit ribosomal RNA", at positions 773 to 1439 of the family's 1533-position model. The record is from RNAcentral. Lineage: Bacteria; Bacillati; Bacillota; Bacilli; Lactobacillales; Enterococcaceae.
CAGGAUUUAGAUACCCUGGUAGUCCACGCCGUAAACGAUGAGUGCUAAGUGUUGGAGGGUUUCCGCCCUUCAGUGCUGCAGCAAACGCAUUAAGCACUCCGCCUGGGGAGUACGACCGCAAGGUUGAAACUCAAAGGAAUUGACGGGGGCCCGCACAAGCGGUGGAGCAUGUGGUUUAAUUGGAAGCAACGCGAAGAACCUUACCAGGUCUUGACAUCCUUUGACCACUCUAGAGAUAGAGCUUCCCCUUCGGGGGCAAAGUGACAGGUGGUGCAUGGUUGUCGUCAGCUCGUGUCGUGAGAUGUUGGGUUAAGUCCCGCAACGAGCGCAACCCUUAUUGUUAGUUGCCAUCAUUUAGUUGGGCACUCUAGCGAGACUGCCGGUGACAAACCGGAGGAAGGUGGGGAUGACGUCAAAUCAUCAUGCCCCUUAUGACCUGGGCUACACACGUGUUACAAUGGGAAGUACAACGAGUUGGGAAGUCGCGAGGUUAAGCUAAUUUCUUAAAGCUUCUCUCAGUUCGGAUUGUAGGCUGCAACUCGCCUACAGGAAGCCGGAAUCGUUAGUAAUCGCGGAUCAGCACGCCGCGGUGAAUACGUUCCCGGGCCUUGUACACACCGCCAAGUCACACCACGAGAGUUUGUAACACCCGAAGUCGGUGAGGUAAC